This 1168-nucleotide long non-coding RNA is filed under the name Ailuropoda melanoleuca (giant panda). RNAcentral describes it as "lncRNA (ENSAMEG00000026368.1)". Lineage: Eukaryota; Metazoa; Chordata; Mammalia; Carnivora; Ursidae. The record is from RNAcentral.
AUGCUCAGGACCUCUGUCUCCUUCCUCUGCUCCCAGCGCCCCGGUGGGAGAGGACACCAGUCGGCCUCGGCUUCGGUAGCUGUACUCUGCUGUCCAGAGCCAGCGCCCCGCUGCCCGCGGUCCACACGCUGUGGCCAAGGAGAUGUUUUCCCCCCUUCCCUGCGCCUGAGCAAGCUGGUGGGUGACCUCCAUCAGUGGGACCACAGCGAGGGGCCCUUGGUCAGCAUCACUCCGGUGACAGUACAGAAAACCAGAGGUGACGUCUGCAGCCGCAGGUGUGGGUUUCAGUACCUACUAGAUUCCUGGUAGAGGUUUGUGAAGGGCUCCUGGCUGCACGCACCUGUUGGCCCAUCUCUGCAUCGUGGGCUCCGACUCCGCCGGCCUGUGAGGCCAGCAGGUGGGUUGCGGACCUGAACUAGUGUCACUGCUGACUCUGGUGCGGUCACGUCCUGAGCGAGGACGCAGGGUCACCAGGCUGACCCUGGGUGGGCAGGUGGGCAGGAGGGGGCAGAUCCUCAAGACCGGCUCUGCAGUAGGUGGGCGGGGCCCGUGGGAGAGUCUGGGCCUCUGGGCAGCGGGGUGUGCCCUGAUUCUCCGCAGGGUCGGUUCCUGGUCUUGGCUUCCAGGAAAGGGGAAACUGAGUGGGAAUGUACUCGGGGAAAUAAAACAACUCUCCCAAAGCUCGUCAGGUCUUUGGCCAGCCUUCAGGAAAACAACACUCAGAAGAAAGAGAGAAUGUGGUUGGCUCUGGGGAGCCUCCCGGGCGGGAGGAAGACUCGGGGUGGGCUGCUCAGAAAUCAUCUUAACCACGAGGAUGUUUCCUCAGUGAGCUGUGUCUGGGCUGAAAACCCAGACUUAUCGUUUUCACCCUCGUAAGCGUACAAUACAGUAGCACUAAGUACGUUCACACGGUUGCACCACCACCAUUUCCCGAACGUUCUCAUCAUCCCAGCAGAAACUCUGGCCCCGUUAAGUAACAACUCCCCAUUCCCUCCCUCUGGCCGGGGAACUUCUCCUCUAGUUUCCGUGUCUGUGCGUCGGCCUGGCCCGGAUAUUCGGUGCGAACGUGAUCACAGGGUGUCUGACUUCUUGGCUUGGCGUGGUGCCUUCCGGGUCAGCCCACUGGCGGGCCAGCCCUUCGCUCCUGGUUAUGGCUGGAUAACCUUCC